This 30-nucleotide non-coding RNA is filed under the name Homo sapiens (human). Lineage: Eukaryota; Metazoa; Chordata; Mammalia; Primates; Hominidae. The record is from RNAcentral.
UGGCCAAUUGGAAUUUUCACAGCCAAGGCA